UCUGAUAUCAACUCCAGCUCU
RNAcentral lists this microRNA (21 nucleotides) under Physcomitrium patens. Its description in RNAcentral is "ppt-miR11317". The record is from miRBase by way of RNAcentral. Lineage: Eukaryota; Viridiplantae; Streptophyta; Bryopsida; Funariales; Funariaceae.